UGUCAAGAGAUUUUCAAAUGUUUCAAGUAUUAUUCCCACUGCCAUUUGUACGUUAUUGAAAGUUUAUCUUUAAUUUUAGUGUUAAUAGUUGUUUACCCAUUUAUUCUUUCCAUUUAAUCGUAUUUUAUGGUUUUACUGUUUCGCUGAAGUGAAGCUUAAAUGAAAGACAAAAGCAUAGUGUUCUCAGAUAUGAUUCACCCAGUAUAUUUCCUCUGUACCUGGUUCUCUACGAGCCGUUUCACUCCCAGGAAGGGGAGAGCAGGACGUUCUUAUCUAUACACUCCCAAAUACAAAGAGGGGCCCAUUCUUCAGAAUCACACACACACACUCUGAGAUCAUAAACUUCACACACACACACAUACUCUGAAACGCUAUAAAUAAAGAACUGCCACAAAUGCUGGUUGUGAGCCUGAGACAGCAGCACUCACCCAGCGUGCGCACGUUGUUACCAUCUAAACUGUCUUGAGUGUCUUUAUUUCGCCUGAAGAAUGUCUUGUUUAAAUAUUUACUCCUCACAUUUAUUUGGUCCUUCGAGCCAACAGAGUGACCUCGUCGUUUCCUGGAUUCGUGAACCCACGCUGCAAAGUCUGUCGCGACAGCCUGUUUCUAGUGAAACAGUAAAGACCAACUACGUGAAUUCGCCGUUGGCCAGCGUUUUUAGCAAGAGGUCCACGAUCCCAGGGAGCGAGGAGGAUUCUCUCUGACCGGCAUUUUCAUCCGAAGCAGGGUAAGACGGGAGUGGAGGUGAAGCUGUGGGAUAUUAAUGAUGUUGGUGGUGUUGGUCUGUCCUCUGUCCUCGUGGAGAAGGCUGAUCCAUAUCGGUGUUUACCUGUUUCUGAUGCAGUGAGACAUUUUUCAUCCCUGCUUGUUAACACUUUCUCUCCCUGAUUCUUGCUUUUGUCCUAUUACAAGAAAAUAAUAGGUUAUUAAUGUAGCCUUACAUUUGUUUGCCAUCAUAUCAAAUGUGGUUUUGUUUGCAGUCACAGGUGUGAUUUAGAAAAGCAAAACUACACACAUAAAUACUCACAAACCACACGGCUGAUGAAGCUGUUUGAUUUGGAUACACAUAAAAAAUAGCACAUCAUUUGAAUUUUUUGCAGUGUUCAUCCUAAUGCACAACAGCACUGCAUGUCCUUUAUUUGAUUCUUGAAUCAAAUAAAUGUCAAAUUGUCAAGAGAUUUAUUUUAAAUGACACUUCUUCAGCUGAGAGUCUAAGAGUAAAGACACACACACUGCAGGUUUUACUUGCAAGGGCGGUCACAGAGCUCUGUUACCACCCCGGUCUUUAUUUAUAUGCAAAAAUAAUACAAUAGUGAAUACGUCUGUUCAUAGACAGAGCAAUGUUAGUGCGUAUGCAGGUGUAUGUGUGUUGUGGGAUUCGGAAGGGAGUGAAGAUAAGAGUGCUUCAGCUCUCCUCUUCCUGGUAAGAGUGAAACUGCUUUUUCAGCUAUUGUCGCUGUGGGAAAGUAUUCUAUCAUAUGUAGACUUAUAUCAUUAAAAGCUUAUACUGACUACUAAGUACAAUUUUCCAUUGACACAAACAUUACUCACUUUAGUAUUACAGAUACACAUAAAGUUCUGUAUGUGGAGUACCAUAUAGGAGGUUGGGCUAUGAUACUCUGCCAGCCUGGCCACACUCCACAGCUUACAUAUAAAACAGCUGUGCAGAAUAGUUUAUUGAUAAAUCAAUUCAUAAUGUGUUAAUUCAUCAUUGUCACAUGGUUCUAUUUGAACGCAAAUAAACUUUAUUUGAAUUAUACUUGGAGAGACAGAGUGGGGUGAAGUGCAGCGAGAAGAGAAGAGAAGAGAAGAGAAGAGAAGAGAAGAGAAGAGAAGAGAAGAGAAGAGAAGAGAAGAGAAGAGAAGAGAAGAGAAGAGAAGAGAAUCAUAAGAUGUCAGCAAACUCAUCAGUCUCCUCUCAGUCCUCUUUGGAUCUCAACCUUUCCUCCAUCGACACCUCCAUCUCUCUACUACUAAGGAAAUACUUAAUGCAAAACUAAGAUCAGAGUAGCGGUGAGACCUUCAACGCCUUUGGUUUAUUUGAAUAUACAAAACUCUGCAUAUCAUUUAAAUUAUUUCCACUUGUUGUCGUAUUGAACAAAAUAAAGAGCAGCGGGUGGAUGAAGCCCAGUCUGGUGUGUGGUAGUCAAAGAAGAAAUGCAGGACAUGAGUGAAGUGAAGGUCUGCAUUAGUGUAGAGUAAUCUUAGUGGUUGAUUUGUGUCUAUGUCUACAUUAUGCAUGUUUCUGUCAAAAUAACUGUCACUGCUGAACUGUUUUUCUAAGUUUGCCAUUGUUUCAGUUUUUUCCAUAUUUAAAUUGACUGUUUUGAGGCAGGAGGUGGAGUGGGGCUGAAAUAUGUUUUGAACAAAUACUUGCAAAUAGACACGUCGUUCCUGUGAGAGAAACACAGAGGAAGUUCAGAUACAAACAGAGAGAGGGUCAGUGGAAAGUAGUCAACUUUUCCAGAAAAUCAAGUGUGAGAUAUAUCCACCAUACAGCAGCACUACCGUUCAUUUUUAUUUCCACUGAUGUAAUCUGAUAUGGUUUAACCUUUAAUAAUCUUUUGUCCCAGAUUUUUCUCUCACAUUUUGCAUCACACAUGUUGACACAUUGACAAAUGUUAAACAAAGUCUUGGCGGUAAAAUGAUAGUAUCAUGUACUGUAUUGUAUAAUUCACCAAACGUACCUUAAGUUAAAAAAAAUCUAUUUUCCAGUAUUACUGAAAAAAUAAAUUAAUACAUGUUUAAAGGAAGAAACAGCAGAAGUUUCUUUAUUUCUUAAAAUUAUUUCAAAUCCAUAAUUUAAUGUGAUUACUUUAGAAACUUUUAGCAUUUCUAUCUGAUGUUUAUGGAUGCUUGUUUCCUCCACCACAGCUACAGACAGAAGUAAGUCAAACAGUUAUUGCAAAUGCUGUAGUAUUAUCUCAAACUUUUUGACUUAAUGGCUGAUUGUAAGAAAAUUUCAAAUUACUUCUGAGUAAUUUUAAUUUGGCCAUAUAUUACAGCUUUGGGGUUCCAUAGCAGCACAGUUAAUGUAUAAGACAACACAAAAAGGGGGAAAAAGUUGUAUAUACAAACUAUACAGAGAUUAAAAAGACAGAUUUAAUUUAUGUUUGUUCCAAUGAUUUGGCUUUUUUCCCACUUCUUCUAUUCUAUUCUUUUUUUAUUCUUUUUUUUGCCCCAGAUGUCGACAAACUUAUUUUUCUCCCCUUUCGAUCUGCACCUUUCCUCCAUGAACAUCUCGCUUCCAUUAUACAUGUACUGUAUCAUCUCUAAACCAAGCUCCUACAUCUAUUGUGCACUGAGCAUCAUUAUCAUCUUCCUCGUCCUCCCCGUCUGCAUCCUCAUCCUCCAACAUGGUCUCCAAGAAUGGAGGAAACAAGGCUCCACCUUCAUGGAAGUACUGAGUCACUCUGACUGCUUCACCUACAACAUCGUCAUCAUGGACCUGUUUGCUGUCUUAGCGUGUGUCUUUGGUGAUUGUAGUAUGUUCAUGAAUAACUUAAACAUGUUAUUCUGGGCGUUCUUUCUUUACUCUGUCUGCUGGUUUGGACAGAUCUUCUUCCACAUGCUGACUUGUGUGGAGCACUACAUGGCUGCUGUUCAUCCCAUCACUUAUCGGAGCUUAAGGAAAGAAAGAGGGGUCAGAAUCAGGAAUAUCAGCAUAGGCUGUGUUUGGCUGCUUUGCUUUGCAAUAGCAAGUUUUAUAAAGAUAAACGAUAUCAUCGUCUCCACUGUGAACAGGGACAGGGUUGACCAAUCAAAGAAGAGGGCAUUUUACACCAUUGUGACCAUACUGGGAAUACUGGUUUUGAAGUUUGUUUGGGAUCUGAAUUGGUCUGUAGUGUAUAUUACAGGAGGACUUAAUGGAUGCAUGUUAAUGUCAUGGGACGCCCUAUUUAAUCUCCCCAGCAGCCUCUUGAUGCCUCUGCUGUUUCUAUACAGAAAGGGUAAAUUUGUGUGUUGCAAGAACAACAUGCAAUGAGUAUUAGAGAGGAGCCUAGGAACAUUUGGGGUUGUCUCUUGCUGUAUUUCUUGCUAUGAGCAGAUGACAUCAUCUGGAGAUCCGACCCUGGGGGGCAAGCAACACCAGAAAAGCAACUGAUGCCUGAACAUUGUCUGCCCACUAUUUUUUUAUUUCAGUUGUUUUCCUGCCAGAUUAAAACUUUCUAAUAAUUUCCACUUUUCCCUGUGGUUUAUAACGUAGUAAGAUUUGGCUUUCCACUGAAUUCUUUUGGGUUUGAAUUUCCAAGGAAUGCUACUUUUCUUGUUGGAUUGUUAUUAUCAAUUAUUUAUGUUUAUUCCAAUGAGUUGGCUUUUUUUUCCUUCUUUUUAUUCCUGCUGUCUUACUAUUUAUAGUUUAUUUCUGCACAGUUGGUGUGUAGAACCAACAGUUUUGUUGUACUUGUACAAUAACAAUAAAAAGCUUUUCUAUUUUGUUCUUU
Oreochromis aureus is the source of this 4445-nucleotide RNA transcript. RefSeq lists it as uncharacterized. The transcript is spliced from 3 exons. NCBI's taxonomy places the organism in Eukaryota, Metazoa, Chordata, Actinopteri, Cichliformes, Cichlidae. The record is from RefSeq and is a predicted model, not a curated record.